CCCUUAGAUGUUCUGGGCCGCACACGCGCUACACUGAAGGAGGCAGCGUGUACUCCUGGAUCGAAAGAUUUGGGUAACCCGCGAAUCUCCUUCGUGCUAGGGAUUGAGGUUUGCAAUUAUCCUUCAUGAACGAGGAAUUCCCAGUAAGUGCAAGUCAUAAGCUUGCGCUGACUACGUCCCUGCCCUUUGUACACACCGCCCGUCGCUACUACCGAUUGAAUGAUUUAGUGAGGACUUCGGACUGGGACCGAUGCGGCUUUCGGGCUGCAUCGGUAUUCUGGAAAGAUGUCCAAACUGUAUCAUUUAGAGGAAGUAAAANUCGUAACA
This 327-nucleotide ribosomal RNA is filed under the name uncultured eukaryote. RNAcentral's name for it is "partial 18S ribosomal RNA". It matches the Rfam family "Eukaryotic small subunit ribosomal RNA", at positions 1470 to 1796 of the family's 1831-position model. The record is from RNAcentral.